UUUCCGUAGGUGAACCUGCGGAAGGAUCAUUACCGAAUUGUCAACACGAGUUGUUGCUGGUCCUCAAACGGGGACAUGUGCACGCUCUGUUUGCACAUCCAUUCACACCUGUGCACCCUCUGUAGUUCUGCAGCCUGGGGGCUCUGGCCCCCUGCCGUGGUUCUAUAUAUUUACACACACACGCUGUAACAAAGUCUCAUGGAAUGUAUACCGCGCUUAACGCAAUACAAUACAACUUUCAGCAACGGAUCUCUUGGCUCUC
This 262-nucleotide unclassified non-coding RNA is filed under the name plant metagenome. RNAcentral describes it as "partial contains small subunit ribosomal RNA, internal transcribed spacer 1, and 5.8S ribosomal RNA". The record is from RNAcentral.